GACGAACGCUGGCGGCGUGCUUAACACAUGCAAGUCGAACGGUAAGGCCCUUCGGGGUACACGAGUGGCGAACGGGUGAGUAACACGUGGGUGAUCUGCCCUGCACUUCGGGAUAAGCCUGGGAAACUGGGUCUAAUACCGGAUAGGACCACUGCCUGCAUGGGUGGGGGUGGAAAGCUUUUGCGGUGUGGGAUGGGCCCGCGGCCUAUCAUCUUGUUGGUGGGGUGAUGGCCUACCAAGGCGACGACGGGUAGCCGGCCUGAGAGGGUGGCCGGCCACACCGGGAGUGAGGUACGGACGAGACUCCUGCGGGAGGAAGCGGUGGGGAAUAUUGCACAAUGGGCGCAAGCUUGAUGCAGCGACGCCGCGAGAGGGAUGGCGGCCUUCGAGUUGUAAACCUCUGGCAGCACCGACGAAGCGCAAGUGACGGUAGGUGCAGAAGAAGGACCGGCCAACUACGUGCCAGCCGCUGCGGUAA
RNAcentral lists this ribosomal RNA (478 nucleotides) under uncultured bacterium. RNAcentral describes it as "partial 16S ribosomal RNA". It matches the Rfam family "Bacterial small subunit ribosomal RNA", at positions 28 to 523 of the family's 1533-position model. The record is from RNAcentral.